AAUAAGGAAGUGAAUAUUUAGGGACACGAAAAACACAGCACAUAGCAUAUCCCACAAGCUUAUGAUUCUUAUACGUCUUUGGAGGUGUGCUUAUUGUUAUUGAAGAACCCUCAUUAUUCUGAUACUCGAACCACUCUGGGAUUUCACUUCCAGGAACAACAAUGCUACAAUCUCUCCAAUAGCCCUGAAACCCACCAAAUAUAUAUAUAUAUAUUAUAAAGCCAAACCAAUGCAUAAUUUUUAGGCAUAAUGUUAGCACAGGUGAGAGUGAGAGACUGACCUCAGAAUUUUCAACGUACUCUUUCAGCAGUGAAAGCACCAAAUCAUAGUUGCCAGCCAAUUUCAAGCAAUCCGCACAACGAAGGCCUAAGUGCGGGAGUUGAUGCUCGUUUAAAUUUAAUACAUCUGAUAAUGUCUCCAACGAAACACAACCGUCUAAAAAAAUCCCAUGUAUACUGGCUGGAAGUCGAGGCAGAUUUUGAAGCAUUUUGCAAUCCUUUAAAAAAAUUUUCGAAAGUUUAGAAAGACGGUAAAUGCUUGCCGGCAGCGUAAAAAAAUUGUUUCCACUCAGAUGCAACUCUUCUAAUGAGCAUAAGUUGCCAAUACCACUUGGGAUUGCUCCUUCCCCCAGAUCACAGUAACUGAUAUCCAAUUUCGUUAAACUACACAAACCUGACAGAGAAGACGGCAAACUCAAAGCCAUCGGAUCUGAACUCCAUCGCAUCAAAUUGAUAGGGAAGGGCAGAAACCAUGAUGCAGAUGAUGGUGAUCCUUUGCACCCACGAAAAGAUAGUUCUUUAAGAUUCUUCAUAAGAAAAAUCGACGAUGGAGGUUGCCUUAUAGCUGUACCACUUAUAUCAAAAUUCAAAGCUUCGAUUUGAUGGGGCAAUAAUGCAAUUUUGAUUCAUGGAAGGCUCUUAUUUAGUUCUGAUUCUGUCCAACUUUUUGACCCAAGCCAGGCAUUUUCUGGUAAUUUAACAGGGAAAUAAGUAGCAAGAACAGAUACAAUAAAUAAAUAAAAAGAAAGUAAAUGAAAUGCGAUCUGCAAAGAAAAUAAAAUUGAAAUUGAGAUGCGCACUUACACUGUUACACGUAGACUCAGAGAAAAUAAUAUUUGCUAGGCUUUGAAAUUGAGAUGCGCAACAGAUACAAUAAAUAAAUAAAAAGAAAGUAAAUGAAAUGCGAUCUGCAAAGAAAAUAAAAUUGAAAUUGAGAUGCGCACUUACACUGUUACACGUAGACUCAGAGAAAAUAAUAUUUGCUAGGCUGUGCCCUUCAUUCGAGUUGUCUAAAUCUUUUGCGUUGUGGUUCCUCAUCAUCAUUACAGCAGCCGCUUCCACUGGCUUCAGCCGCGCCAACAUAUCCUUCAAGACUUCGCUUUAGAAAGCUUCGCUCAGACGACGAUGUUGAUCCUGCAUCAUCCCGGCAUCAAUUUCCACUGGCUUAUGCGCUAUCAUAGUUGUCAGUCAGGUAAAAGCUUCGCUCAGACGACGUUGUUGAUCCUGCAUCAUCCUGGCAGUAAGUUCCACUGGCUUCUGCACUGUCAUAGUCGUCAGUCAGGUAGAAGCUUCGCUCAGACGACGUUGUUGAUCCUGCAUCAUCCUGGCAGUAAGUUCCACUGGCUUCUGCACUGUCAUAGUCGUCAGUCAGGUAGAAGCUUCGCUCAGACGACGUUGUUGAUCCUGCAUCAUCCUGGCAGUAACUUCCUCUGGCUUCUGCCCUGUCUAAGUCAUCAUUACGGCUACGCGUAAAGGAUGUUGAUCCUGAACAAUCGUGACCAAAUUCGUUCAACUUCCAAACUGGAUCAGUUGUUUGGUUGAACUUAUCCCCUUGAUGCACAUAUAUUGGAUGGACACCACACCUCUUCAACUACAAUCCCGACGGCGAAUCAAAUGACACUUCAAAAGAUGCACCUAAAUCUUCCAUAUUCUCGUAGUGUAGCAAAAGAUGGUCUGACACAGCCUGACCGAAGUGCUUUCUAAACACAAUGGCAGUAUAAUUCCAGUCGGCAGCCCAGAUAGACAGCUCAUGUACGGGAUAUGGAAAAUGCCGAUCAUAAUAUGGAAGUGAAUAUUUAGGGAUAUGAAAAACACAACACACAGCAUAUCCCACAAGCUUACUAUUCUUAUACGUCUUUGGAGGCGUGCUUAUUGUUAUUGAAGAACCCUCAUUAUUCUGAUACUCGAACCACUCUGGGAUUUCACUUCCAAACCAAUUGUUGAGAUUUCCAAGCUUAUAGAACCAACUUGAACAACCUCUCCCAAGAUCCCCAGAUCAGAAUUCCAAGAUGAACCAAAGAAGAUUCGAAAGUUACAAUGAUAGAAGACAAC
Molecule: long non-coding RNA, 2330 nt
Filed under: Citrus sinensis (sweet orange)
Lineage: Eukaryota; Viridiplantae; Streptophyta; Magnoliopsida; Sapindales; Rutaceae
Description: long non-coding RNA (CSIN_LNC004462)
Source: RNAcentral